UAUACGACCGCCAAAAAAAUUUGUGGUCGUAUAUUGGUAUGACAUUGGCGUUGUCGUCGUCCGAAGACACAUUGGUUUUCGCACUCUAACUUUAGUUUAAGUGAAUGGAUCUCUAUGAAAUUUUACCAUAAGGUUCAAUACCACAAAAGGAAGGUGGGGAUUGAUUUUGGGGGUUAUGGUACCAACAGUUAAGGAAUUAGGGGCCAAAAAUAAGCAUUUUUGUAACUUCCAGACAUAACUUGUGUGUUAGUGUAUGGAUCUCUCUGACAUUGUACCACAAGGUUUCAUAUUACAAAGGGAAUGCUGGGAUUGAUUUUGGGGGUAAUUGUCUCCAAAUUUUAGGAAUAAGGGGCCAAAAAGGGGCAAAAAACAAGCAUUUUUCUAGUUUCAUGACAAUAACUUGUGUGUAAGUCACAGUAAGUGUAUGGAUUUCUCUGACAUUGUAUUACAAGGUUCCAUAUCACAAAGGGAAUGGUGGGAUUGAUUUUUGGGGCAAUUGCCUGCAAAUUUUAGGAAUUAGGGGCCAAAAGGGGGCAAAAAACAAGCAUUUUUCUAGUUUCAUGACAAUAACUUGUGUGUAAGUGUAUGGAUCUUUAUGAAAUUGUACUACAAGGUUCCAUAUGACAAAGGGAAAGCUGGAAUUGAGUUUGGGGGUAAUUGCCCAAAAAGUUUAGGAAUAAGGGGCCAAAAAUAAGCAUUUUUCUAGUUUCCAGACAAUAACUUGUGUGUAAGUGUAUGGAUCUCUCUGACAUUGUAUUACAAGGUUCCAUAUCACAAAGGGAAUGCUGGGAUUGAUUUUUGGGGGUAAUUGCCUCCAAAUUUUAGGAAUUAGGGGGCAAAAAACAAGCAUUUUUCUAGUUUCAUGACAAUAACUUGUGUGCAAGUCUAUGGAUCUCUCUGACAUUGUAUCACAAGGUUCCAUAUCACAAAGGGAAUGCUGGGAUUGAAUUUGGGGGUAAUUGCCUCCAAAUUUUAGGAAUUAGGGGCCAAAAAGGGGCAAAAAACAAGCAUUUUUCUAGUUUCAUGGCAAUAACUUGUGUGUAAGUGUAUGGAUCUUUAUGAAAUUGUACUACAAGGUUCCAUAUCACAAAGGGAAAGCUGGAAUUGAGUUUGGGGGUAAUUGCCCAAAAAGUUUAGGAAUAAGGGGCCAAAAAUAAGCAUUUUUCUAGUUUCCAGACAAUAACUUGUGUUCAAGUGUAUGGAUCUCUCUGAAAUUGUACUGCAAGGUACCAUACCACAGAGGGAAUGCUGGGAUUGAUUUUGGGGGUAAUUGCCUCCAAAUUUUAGGAAUUAGGGGCCAAAAAGGGGCAAAAAACAAGCAUUUUUCUAGUUUCAUGACAAUAACUUGUGUGUAAGUCUAUGGAUCUCUCUGACAUUGUAUCACAUGGUUCCAUAUCACAAAGGGAAUGCUAGGAUUGAUUUUGGGGGUAAUUGCCUCCAAAUUUUAGGAAUUAGGGACCAAAAAGGGGCAAAAAACAAGCAUUUUUCUAGUUUCAUGGCAAUAACUUGUGUGUAAGUGUAUGGAUCUUCAGAAAUUGUACUACAAGGUUCCAUAUCACAAAGGGAAAGCUGGGUUUGAGUUUGGGGGUAAUUGCCCUAAACGUUUAGGAAUUUGGGACCAAAAAGGGCCAAAAAACAAGCAUUUUUCUAGUUUCCAGACAAUAACAUGUGUUCAAGUGUAUGGAUCUCUCUGAAAUUGUACUGCAAGGUACCAUACCACAAAGGGAAGGCUGGGAUUGAGUUUUGGGGUGAUGAAUCAUAAGGGGGUUCAAAAAAUUUUGGGGGGGGGAUUCUUUUUCCUUUUUUUUCUUUAAAAUUUUCCAUUUUAAAUUGGUUAUUUCUGAUUUAUAAUGAUAUGGUUUGAAUAGGUAAAUUAAAUUUUUUUAAGUAUCUUAGACCACUUUCAUUCUGUGUCAGAAACCUAUGCUGUGUCAAAUAUUUAAUUACAAUCCAAAUUCAGUGCUGAAUCAAGCUUGAAUGUUGUGUUCAUACUUGCCCCAACUGUUCAGGGUUCGACCUCUGCGGUCGUAUCAAGCUGCGCCCCAGCGGAGCAUUUUAUUUCAUUCAUAAAUUACUUUAUGCUUGGAAAUAUAAUUUUGCUUGGAGUUGAAAGAGUUGACAUGUUGCAAUGUACAUUUACUCUACAUAGUUCUAUGGUACCAAAUCAAAAGUUUAUAUAAAGAAAGAAGUCAAAGGUUUCCCAUCAUAGUUUAGUUACAUACAUUUUUUUUUGUACCUGAGGUCGUUGAAUAUAGAUCAUUAUAUAAAUAAGGAGAUGUGUUAUGAUUGCCAAUGAAAAAACUAAGGAUUUUCUUAUCCAAGGAAUAGAUUACCUUAGCCGUAUUUGGCACAACUUUUUGGAAUUUUGGGUCCUCAAUGCUCUUCAACUUUGUACUUGUUUGGCUUUGUUACUAUUUUGAUCUGAACGUCACUGAUGAGUCUUAUGUAGACGAAACACACGUCUGGCGUAUUAAAUUAUAAUCCUGGUACCUUUGAUGACUAAUUUGACUAUAAACAUAGAUAAAAAAGGUACAAACUGGACAUAAUGCACUAGUUCAUAAACAAGUGAGAACAAUCGCCUUCAUAUAGUGCUCAGAAUAUGACAUUCAUAAAACUUAUUCAAUAUCAUUAGAGAACUCUAAAUCUUAAAUACUGAAAGCCACCUCUGAUAAGUACACUGUACUAUGCAAGAUAAUGAUAUAACUGGACUUAAAAUACACACAACCUGUAAUUAACUGCCUUUACAGCGCUUUCGUGCUUUGAU
Molecule: long non-coding RNA, 2764 nt
Organism: Mytilus californianus (California mussel)
Lineage: Eukaryota; Metazoa; Mollusca; Bivalvia; Mytilida; Mytilidae
Exons: 3
Source: RefSeq, a predicted model, not a curated record